CUUCUGGUCCAGACUUCAGGGAUCAGGGAGGCCUUAGGAGAUUGAUAUCCUGAUCUAUUGGAUCUUCCGAGGGUCAGACUCUGUGCUACUUGCUGGGAGGUCCCAAGCAAAAUCAGUCCUGAACCCUAAGAACUCACAGUGUCUACUCACAGGGGUGAAGAAAGGUUUAGGCUUUCGAGUCAAAAGAUCAAGUUCUAGUUGGACAACAUGUGACUUUGGGCGUGUUCUGUCUUCUCUACAAGAAGCAUGAGUAAUAGUUAGGAACCCAAGUGAUGAAUAAGAUGCAGCCCCAAGGGACAUGGUAUUGGCCCAGAGAGAACUCUUAGGACCUUCUGUCCAGUUGGGACUGAGCCCCCUGGAAGCUGGACUGCUGCCUUCCAACUGCCACGGACCCCAGGAGAAUGUGUAAGCUGACAGCAGGAAACAGCUGGGGCCCAUGUCUCCCAUCUGAAAAAGCCAGGUUAUUUAUAAUGGUUUGGCUAUUGUGGUUGUUGAAGAUGCAUCUGUGAAAAACAUUGUUGCUAUGACUAACCUUAUGCACUUCUUUUGUGCCUGUGAGUCAGGGUUCCUCCAGGGUGAACAUAACAACAAACAGCAGGAAGGAAGGGAUCCAGGCAACCAGCACACGAUAUGGGAUAUUGGCUACGUGAUGGGAAAUGUUCUGGGGUCAGAUCAGAAAAUGUCAGACCUUCUUACACGCGUUCGUGACCGGCCAGGAAGAACGCAACAAACCGGAAUCUUCUGCGGCAAAAGCUUUAUUGCUUACAUCUUCAGGAGCAAGAGAGCAAGAGCAAGAGCAAGAGAGAGAAUGGCGAAACCCCGUCCCUUUUAAGGAGAAUUAUCCUCCGCCUAGGACGUGUCACUCCCUGAUUGGCUGCAGCCCAUCGGCCCAGUUGUCAUCACGAGAAAGGCAGAGCACAUGGCGGGAAAACUGCCCCUGCACAUGUGCAGAUUAUUUACUACUUAGAACACAGCUGUCAGCGCCAUCUUAUAAUGGCAAAUGUGAGUGCGGCUUCCCACAAGACCUUGGAUUAGGUGUUUUACAAACACGAUCCGUUGGCUUCCUAUAGCAACCAUGUGAGGCAGGUGCUGUGACUGUUUCUAUCUCACAGGUGAGGACAUUAAGCCUGCAGAGGACAAGCGACCUGGUCCAAGGCACCCUGUCAGCACUGGGGCAGUGUACAUUGAGUGUCCUGAUUCUAUGCCUGCCUGCCACAGCCUCCCUGUAGCCUCAGCUUUGUAGAUAUUUUAAGAAGCCAGGCGAAGUAAAGUAAGGGACUCUAGACCAGACAAGGCAAACAGCUGAGAAGCCCCCAAGAGGUUUUGGAUCUGAAACUUGCCAUAUUUACCCAAAUAAAAUAAUAAAACCUUUUCUUCUCACUUUA
Long non-coding RNA from Mus musculus (house mouse), 1385 nucleotides. RefSeq annotates it as predicted gene, 41744. The transcript has 3 exons. Lineage: Eukaryota; Metazoa; Chordata; Mammalia; Rodentia; Muridae. The record is from RefSeq and is a predicted model, not a curated record.